GGUUGUGGCUUAGUGGUAGAGUGUUCAACUAGCACAUGUGAGGCACUAGGUUCGAUCCUCAGCACCA
This 67-nucleotide transfer RNA is filed under the name Marmota monax (woodchuck). RNAcentral's name for it is "tRNA.Ala". Lineage: Eukaryota; Metazoa; Chordata; Mammalia; Rodentia; Sciuridae. The record is from RNAcentral.